RNAcentral lists this ribosomal RNA (372 nucleotides) under uncultured organism. RNAcentral's name for it is "bacterial SSU rRNA". It matches the Rfam family "Bacterial small subunit ribosomal RNA", at positions 526 to 896 of the family's 1533-position model. The record is from RNAcentral.
CGUAGGUGGCAAGCGUUGUCCGGAAUUAUUGGGCGUAAAGCGCGCGCAGGCGGUUCCUUAAGUCUGAUGUGAAAGCCCCCGGCUCAACCGGGGAAGGUCAUUGGAAACUGGGGAACUUGAGUGCAGAAGAGAAGAGCGGAAUUCCACGUGUAGCGGUGAAAUGCGUAGAGAUGUGGAGGAACACCAGUGGCGAAGGCGGCUCUUUGGUCUGUAACUGACGCUGAGGCGCGAAAGCGUGGGGAGCAAACAGGAUUAGAUACCCUGGUAGUCCACGCCGUAAACGAUGAGUGCUAAGUGUUAGAGGGUUUCCGCCCUUUAGUGCUGCGGCUAACGCAUUAAGCACUCCGCCUGGGGAGUACGGCCGCAAGGCUG